GGUUAAGCGACUAAGCGUACACGGUGGAUGCCCUGGCAGUCAGAGGCGAUGAAGGACGUGCUAAUCUGCGAAAAGCGUCGGUAAGGUGAUAUGAACCGUUAUAGCCGGCGAUGUCCGAAUGGGGAAACCCAGUGCAAUUCGUUGCACUAUCGUUAACUGAAUACAUAGGUUAACGAGGCGAACCGGGGGAACUGAAACAUCUAAGUACCCCGAGGAAAAGAAAUCAACCGAGAUUCCCCCAGUAGCGGCGAGCGAACGGGGAGCAGCCCGGAGUCUGAAUCAGCUUGUGUGUUAGUGGAAGCGUCUGGAAAGUCGCAGGGUACAGGGUGAUACUCCCGUACACUAAAACAUACAGGCUGUGAACUCGAAGAGUAGGGCGGGACACGUGGUAUCCUGUCUGAAUAUGGGGGGACCAUCCUCCAAGGCUAAAUACUCCUGACUGACCGAUAGUGAACCAGUACCGUGAGGGAAAGGCGAAAAGAACCCCGGCGAGGGGAGUGAAAAAGAACCUGAAACCGUGUACGUACAAGCAGUAGGAGCCCACUUGUUGGGUGACUGCGUACCUUUUGUAUAAUGGGUCAGCGACUUAUAUUCUGUAGCAAGGUUAACCGUAUAGGGGAGCCGCAGGGAAACCGAGUCUUAACUGGGCGUUAAGUUGCAGGGUAUAGACCCGAAACCCGGUGAUCUAGCCAUGGGCAGGUUGAAGGUUGGGUAACACUAACUGGAGGACCGAACCGACUAAUGUUGAAAAAUUAGCGGAUGACUUGUGGCUGGGGGUGAAAGGCCAAUCAAACCGGGAGAUAGCUGGUUCUCCCCGAAAGCUAUUUAGGUAGCGCCUCGUGAAUUCAUCUUCGGGGGUAGAGCACUGUUUCGGCUAGGGGGUCAUCCCGACUUACCAACCCGAUGCAAACUACGAAUACCGAAGAAUGUUAUCACGGGAGACACACGGCGGGUGCUAACGUCCGUCGUGAAGAGGGAAACAACCCAGACCGCCAGCUAAGGUCCCAAAGUCAUGGUUAAGUGGGAAACGAUGUGGGAAGGCCCAGACAGCCAGGAUGUUGGCUUAGAAGCAGCCAUCAUUUAAAGAAAGCGUAAUAGCUCACUGGUCGAGUCGGCCUGCGCGGAAGAUGUAACGGGGCUAAACCAUGCACCGAAGCUGCGGCAGCGACACUAUGUGUUGUUGGGUAGGGGAGCGUUCUGUAAGCCGUUGAAGGUGGCCUGUGAGGGUUGCUGGAGGUAUCAGAAGUGCGAAUGCUGACAUAAGUAACGAUAAUGCGGGUGAAAAACCCGCACGCCGGAAGACCAAGGGUUCCUGUCCAACGUUAAUCGGGGCAGGGUGAGUCGACCCCUAAGGCGAGGCCGAAAGGCGUAGUCGAUGGGAAACAGGUUAAUAUUCCUGUACUUGGUGUUACUGCGAAGGGGGGACGGAGAAGGCUAUGUUGGCCGGGCGACGGUUGUCCCGGUUUAAGCAUGUAGGCGGAUGUUCCAGGUAAAUCCGGAACGUCACUAACGCUGAGGUGUGAUGACGAGGCACUACGGUGCUGAAGUGACAAAUGCCCUGCUUCCAGGAAAAGCCUCUAAGCAUCAGGUAACAUCAAAUCGUACCCCAAACCGACACAGGUGGUCAGGUAGAGAAUACCAAGGCGCUUGAGAGAACUCGGGUGAAGGAACUAGGCAAAAUGGUGCCGUAACUUCGGGAGAAGGCACGCUGAUGGUAAGUGAAGUGACUUGCUCAUGGAGCUGAAAUCAGUCGAAGAUACCAGCUGGCUGCAACUGUUUAUUAAAAACACAGCACUGUGCAAACACGAAAGUGGACGUAUACGGUGUGACGCCUGCCCGGUGCCGGAAGGUUAAUUGAUGGGGUUAUCCUCGCGGAGAAGCUCUUGAUCGAAGCCCCGGUAAACGGCGGCCGUAACUAUAACGGUCCUAAGGUAGCGAAAUUCCUUGUCGGGUAAGUUCCGACCUGCACGAAUGGCGUAAUGAUGGCCAGGCUGUCUCCACCCGAGACUCAGUGAAAUUGAACUCGCUGUGAAGAUGCAGUGUACCCGCGGCAAGACGGAAAGACCCCGUGAACCUUUACUAUAGCUUGACACUGAACACUGGUCCUUGAUGUGUAGGAUAGGUGGGAGGCUUUGAAGUGUGGACGCCAGUCUGCAUGGAGCCAUCCUUGAAAUACCACCCUUUAAUGGCUGGUGUUCUAACGUGGGCCCGUAAUCCGGGUUGCGGACAGUGUCUGGUGGGUAGUUUGACUGGGGCGGUCUCCUCCUAAAGAGUAACGGAGGAGCACGAAGGUCAGCUAAUCCUGGUCGGACAUCAGGAGGUUAGUGCAAUGGCAUAAGCUGGCUUGACUGCGAGCGUGACGGCGCGAGCAGGUGCGAAAGCAGGUCAUAGUGAUCCGGUGGUUCUGAAUGGAAGGGCCAUCGCUCAACGGAUAAAAGGUACUCCGGGGAUAACAGGCUGAUACCGCCCAAGAGUUCAUAUCGACGGCGGUGUUUGGCACCUCGAUGUCGGCUCAUCACAUCCUGGGGCUGAAGUAGGUCCCAAGGGUAUGGCUGUUCGCCAUUUAAAGUGGUACGCGAGCUGGGUUUAGAACGUCGUGAGACAGUUCGGUCCCUAUCUGCCGUGGGCGCUGGAGAAUUGAGGGGGGCUGCUCCUAGUACGAGAGGACCGGAGUGGACGCAUCACUGGUGUUCGGGUUGUCAUGCCAAUGGCAUUGCCCGGUAGCUAAAUGCGGAAGAGAUAAGUGCUGAAAGCAUCUAAGCACGAAACUUGCCCCGAGAUGAGUUCUCCCUGACCCUUUAAGGGUCCUGAAGGAACGUUGAAGACGACGACGUUGAUAGGCCGGGUGUGUAAGCGCAGCGAUGCGUUGAGCUAACCGGUACUAAUGAACCGUGAGGCUUAACCUU
Molecule: ribosomal RNA, 2906 nt
Filed under: Klebsiella oxytoca
Lineage: Bacteria; Pseudomonadati; Pseudomonadota; Gammaproteobacteria; Enterobacterales; Enterobacteriaceae
Description: 23S ribosomal RNA
Rfam family: Bacterial large subunit ribosomal RNA
Source: RNAcentral